Molecule: long non-coding RNA, 3353 nt
Organism: Haliaeetus leucocephalus (bald eagle)
Lineage: Eukaryota; Metazoa; Chordata; Aves; Accipitriformes; Accipitridae
Exons: 5
Source: RefSeq, a predicted model, not a curated record
ACAUCGAACGAGCACAUGGAGUUCCAGACGCUGAUCCUCCGAGAAUCCAUGUGUGACAGAAAGGAUGGAUAAUCUUUUGGCUCAGUUCCAGACUGGUGGAGCCUGCAUGUGGUUGUUUCAGGCUGACGUACAAAAAGGGUGCAGCAUUUAUUCUGCCAGGGCUUUACAUGCAACAUUUUAUUUCACUUAUGUAUCUGUGGCAACGAUCCUAUUACCUUGUUUCUGAUAUGCCUGACUGCUGCAUAGCAGAUCAUGCCUGGAAAAUAUUGUGGUUUUGAAGUCAGAAAUUAACCUGUUAGUGCUGGGACUUGUUAAAGUUGGGCUCUGAUCACAAGAAUUCACAGGCUCAUACUACCUUGAAUUCGAUUAAAGUGGGUCUUCAGGACCUAAGUACCACGGUAGGUCUGGGCCCAGCUGGUUAGGAUUCUGAAAAACAGCUGAAUGAUAAUCAAAUAGGACUCCAGUGACUGCAGCCCACCAAGUUAAAAAAAUUAAUUUAAAAACAUGGUAAACCAAUGUGUUUUCUUAUUAAAGGCAAACUCAAGUCUUAAGAUACGCAUUAAACUUCAGUAAGAUACACAUGGCCUUGUAGUAUUCUUACAUACUCUACAUGAAUCGGAAAUACUGUACGUGAAUCAGGAGUAUAGAUGUUGUGAGCAUGUGAUGGCCCAGUAGAGGAUGAAAUACGGAUACUGAAAACAAAGAUCAGUGACUUGACUCUCUCUUCCCAAACCUAUUUCUCUCCCUCUAUAAAUAAGUUUGGUGCACAGAAUGCAAAUUUACGUCAUGGCUUUAUUGCUUCCUCUUCGCAGAGGAGGAUGUUCAUUCGAGUUGCUGCUUUCGAGUUCCACCUGAAGCUACAAAGCAUUGCAAUAUUCAGCUGUUUCAUGUUCACACACCGACGUUUUAAGUCAUUUCUCUUUCCAGUGGCAGUGAUGGGAGCAUGGGGUGAAGAUCAGCACAAAAAUAAGCCAUUUUGUGGACACAAAAAUGCUUGGUAUUGGUAGGACAUCGUGCGCUUGGAGUAACAUGCAGUUGUAAGGAAGAUGAGCAUGGAAAACCAGGAUCCUGAGUUCUGAUCUCAGCCUGAUCUUGACUCGCUGGGUGAUAUUAGGUAAAGGAUCCAUAUUAAACUUGAGGCCUCUGGGAAGAGGAAUGAAAUUUUAUGCAAGUGUUUGAGCAAGGGAGGUGGACUGAGGGAAGCAGAAGAAACAGGCCAGGACCCACAGGACUGUCACAGCUGCCCACGCAGCAGUAUUGAUCUCAGAGUUGUGGUUAUCAAACAGGUUUUGAUGACUUCCAAGAACAAAAGUAUUAAAAUACGAGAGCAUCAGUUAGAAAAUGUUGGCAAUUAGUAGAAGAAAUGGCGAGGAAAAAGAGGAGGAAGGAAGAGAUGCCAGUGUGGAUGAAAUGUCAGUGAAUGAGGUCACGGGGGUGUUCCAGAGAAGCAGCAUGCGGAGAGUGUUGGGACGAGUUCUUGCUGGUGUGCCAGGGGAGCGAGGGCCUUAUUUGUGUAGCCUUUUGGACUUGUACUGAUGCUACUAGGGAGACUUCGGAAGGGAUUCCAGGAAUGCCCCUGGAGGAUUGUAAUUGCAGUGUUGCCUUGUGACUGUGCUGAAUUAAGAAUCGGAGCCCAGCUGAAAUUCCCAGACCGAAGGAUAUGAUGGCUACUAGUAACCUUGGUGCCUUUUUUUAUGCUUUUUUCUAAACAGUAUCUUUUUGCAUUAUACAUGGUCAGUGUUUUUGGAGAAAAAAAGUUAUUUCUUAGGUACCUAUUAAAAUUUAAGAAAAUAGCAGGUCCCCUUGCCCCUUGUGUGCACACCUUCUCCUUCCAUAUGCUUUAGUGUUGGAAACUGAUCAUGACUUUCCAUUGUUAUGGGAAAACAUUUAAAUAGCACACCAUUUUAUAGACAAAGGAAGGAAAAAUCCAACAACUUUGUACUCUGCCUGUAGGAGCUCUCAGUCUAAGUAUGGCAAAAUUAGCAAAUAUGAAAUGUAGGCUAACAGCUAAGGAGAAUAAGGGAGUGAAGUUACAGAUGCUAAAUAAAGACAGGAUGAGAUUGUUCAAAGAGGCAGGAGGAAGGACAGAGGAUACUUGGCAAGAGAGACUCAAUGAUACGGGUCAGCUUUACUCUUACUGAAUCUGAGUGUUAUCCCAGAUUUGUGGAGAUACAACAUCCAAAGCCUUCCCAGGGAGAAAGAUCUUAGCCCAGAGGGCAGCGUGGAGUGAGGCUCAAAGCAGGGGGAAGAAAAGGAGAUGGAAGUGAGUGAGUGAGCAGGGAGCAGGAAAAGCAGAAGGAUUGGGAGCAUCCUGGGAUAGGACUGUGUAAAUGCUAACUGGGGUCUUGAGCAAAGUCAAAAGCAGUUUUCCCAAAAAUAACAGUGGUCUCAAGCCCAGCAUAAGAACUUGAAUUUGACCCAGAAGUAGAGAGAAUUACAGCAGUUCUGCUGUGUGUUAGGUCUGCAUUUGGAAUUUCAAACUUUGUUUUGCCUCUGGAGUCCUCAGUCUUGCACAGUCCCAUUACAGCAGUGGUGGUUUUAGUGAGAGUGCAGGUUUUAGUGAGAGUGAGUUCCUAUCCUUGGGCAGCUGCACUUUCAUGUGCACAGGCAUGUGCAUUUUCAGUAAAGGCUGUUCCCAGAGUGAAGAUUAGCUGGUGGAACUAACAACAGAGGCUUUUUGGAAAGCAACACUGAAUUUGCCAUAGGCAUGACCCGGUAGCAUUUUCCCCAGCCAAGCACUGGGACUGUGUGUGGAUGGCUCUGUUUGAUGAAAUCUGGGGCAGCUGAAGGGCAGACAGGCUAUUCUAGUGCUUGCAUGUCUGCUGCAGAAGGUGGAGGCGUACCGGUGUAACAUGGGGAAAUACUGGUGCACACUGAAACUUCCCUAAGAGCUCUGAUUAGAAGAUGCAAAUGUGAUGCUUUAAAAAAGGUAAUUUACUGACAGAAGAAAAACUAGUAAUGAGCUGAACAAUUAGCUUAUCUUUCACCUUUCUAGAUACUUUAACAGCUAAAGACUUAAAAUUAAUCUAGCAGAAGUCAGAGCAUUAAUUUGAGGCUGUUAAAAUCUUCCUGAUCCAUUUAUGGUACUCUUCUGGAGGAAGAGUUUCUUACUUCAAGUUAGCUUAACCCUCACUUUAUUAUUGCAACUGGUCAAAUUAAUUGCUAUAUUUGUCAGAGAUCACAAACUCUCCACAAAUCUGAUUGUAUUUACUCAUGUGUUUUCAUUUCUUGAAAGGUGAAGAUGUAUAAAAAAAUAAAGGAACUUUGGUGGCAGUUUGUUGGAGUGAGGAAUCAAAACUAUUUUCAGCACAUGUUAGUAAUGUACGUGAACUCAUAGAAUGUAUCUGAACUUU